AGGGAUCAUUGCUGGAACUGUGUCCUCACGGGCACAACCCCAGAUACCCUUUGUGAACUUAUACCACUUUAUCGUUGCCUCGGCGCUGAGCCCGGGGGGGAGGAAACUACUACGCUCAGAGGAGAAUCUUUUUCUCCUUCUUUUCUUUUUUCCCCCCCUCCCCUCCAUCCGUGUAAAAACGGUUGCUGGAGCAGGCCCGCCGGCGGCCCAUCAAACUCUUUGUUUUUAAAACCUAUCUCUUCUGAGUAAAUAAACAAAAAAUGAAUCAAAACUUUCAACAACGGAUCUCUUGGUUCUGGCAUCGAUGAAGAACGCAGCGAAAUGCGAUAAGUAAUGUGAAUUGCAGAAUUCAGUGAAUCAUCGAAUCUUUGAACGCACAUUGCGCCCGCUGGAAUUCCAGCGGGCAUGCCUGUAGCAACCGAUUUUACACCCUCAAGCUUGGCUUGGUGUUGGGGCACUACCCGUAAAACGGUAGGCCCUGAAAUUUAGUGGCGGGCUCGCUAAGACUCUGAUAAAAUGGUAUAAGUUCACAAAGGGUAGCGGUUGCUUUUGCCGUAAAACCCCCCCUUUUUUUAUAUUCUGAAAUUUGACCUCG
RNAcentral lists this ribosomal RNA (595 nucleotides) under Cryphonectria sp. MAD-2010. Its description in RNAcentral is "eukaryotic LSU rRNA". The stretch from base 270 to 418 matches the Rfam family "5.8S ribosomal RNA". Lineage: Eukaryota; Fungi; Ascomycota; Sordariomycetes; Diaporthales; Cryphonectriaceae. The record is from RNAcentral.